CGCGCUCGGAUUUCGCAUCACGAUCGCGUCCGGGUCGGGCAAGUUGACGAUCACGAGACGCGCGUCCUGGCUCUUGCCGCGGAUGAUCUUGUUCAGCGCGGCGGGGCCGCUCGCGUCCUCGACCCAGCCGCCCGCGGCGGCGGCGGCGGCGGCGGCGGCGUCGGUUUUUUUCGUCGCCGCCGGCUGCGGCGCGGGGGAGUACGACGCGGUGACGUCGUUAUCUACGAAACCGACAGACUUGGAGCGUUUUCGCACCGCCGGCGGAUUCGUAUCGGCCUCCUCCUCCUCGACGAUGAUCACGUCGUCGGACGUCACCGACGAGACGCUCGGCCGCGCGUCCGCCGCGCCUUCGCCCGCCUCCGCCUCCGCCGCCGCCGCCGCCGGAGGCGGCCUCGGCGAGUCGUCCGCGAUGGGCGCCAGCGGCGGCUUCGCGGGCUUCUCCCCGCUCACGCUCGACAUGUCGAAGAUAGACGACAAGCUCGCGUGCUCGUACGGCGACGCGUCCGCGGACUCGUUGCUGCGGCGGUCGUGC
RNAcentral lists this long non-coding RNA (532 nucleotides) under Micromonas pusilla. RNAcentral describes it as "long non-coding RNA (MPUS_LNC000093)". The record is from RNAcentral. Lineage: Eukaryota; Viridiplantae; Chlorophyta; Mamiellophyceae; Mamiellales; Mamiellaceae.